UUCGUUGUUCUGUCGUCUUUAUAAAGCCAAGCGCUGCAUUUGAUUGUUGUUAUCUUCAACGAAUCGCAUUAGCAGCAACAGAACAAGACAGUCAAACGUGGAUAUGAAGACCUAUUUCCUUAUUGCUUUAUUCGCCGCGUGUGUAUUGGCCAGUAUUGCCCAAGAUAUCACACCUGGACCAGCUCAAUCUUAUAGUGACGAGGAUGGGUAUGGUGAAGCAAGUUUUUCUGACGAAGCCUUUCCUCAUGAAUUGUUUAAAGAUGAUGGGAAGUUCGGCACAUUCAACGAAGACGAUACAGAGGGAAAUUUGGAAGAUUUUGCCGAUGGAGAUCCAACGAAAGCCCCAUAAAAAGACUCAUUUUCAGGCGAGGAAUUGCACUUAUUGGCAAACAAGCAGUAAGGAAAAUCUUCUCCAAAACACAGCAACCCUGGCAGGGCUAUAUCGGACACUAAACUGAAAAUUACCGUUUUACAUGUUCCAGAACAAAUAUGCAAUAAACGGGAAAUAAGCGUC
Molecule: long non-coding RNA, 514 nt
Organism: Mizuhopecten yessoensis (Yesso scallop)
Lineage: Eukaryota; Metazoa; Mollusca; Bivalvia; Pectinida; Pectinidae
Exons: 2
Source: RefSeq, a predicted model, not a curated record